This 634-nucleotide ribosomal RNA is filed under the name Caryophyllia calveri. Its description in RNAcentral is "eukaryotic LSU rRNA". The stretch from base 228 to 381 matches the Rfam family "5.8S ribosomal RNA". Lineage: Eukaryota; Metazoa; Cnidaria; Anthozoa; Scleractinia; Caryophylliidae. The record is from RNAcentral.
AUUACCGAUGAAUGUCGUCCAACAACUACUCAGUUGUACCUUGUGAACUGUACCAAACUAUUUAGGGGUCGGCUUGUCCGUUAAAUGGUCGUCGGACGCGAGAGAUCGCGGCCGCUCGACCGGCCCCGCGUGUGUUUCCUUUUUUACAAACAUAUGUGUUCCUGUCUGACGCARCGCUUCGUCCGGCCUCCGGUCGGCCGCAGCGGAUAGAGCAAAAAACGAGAUACAACUUUUGACGGUGGAUCUCUUGGCUCACGCAUCGAUGAAGAACGCAGCCAGCUGCGAUAAGUAGUGUGAAUUGCAGAAUUCAGUGAAUCAUCGAAUCUUUGAACGCAAAUGGCGCUCUUGGGUUCUCCCAGGAGCAUGUCUGUCUGAGUGUCGGAUAUCAUCCAACGCACRCCAGCGUGCGGAAUUGAGGCGUCACGGUCUGUACAGCAUGGACCGUGUCCCUUGAAAGUCAGAGAGACUCGCCGCGUCGCGGGAUGAUUCCCCGUGCACACUACCGGAGGCUAAAACGUAUUUUGCCCUUCGCGUGCCGGGUGUCGCCGCGUGCGGUGGUCGUCGUCGGGCGAACAGCAUUAUUAUCUUGACCUCAGAUCAGGCAAGGCUACCCGCUGAAUUGCCAAACAUAUUA